CAACCCUAAUUGUUUCUAUAUAAGUGUGUCUAGCUCUCUACUCAUUCUGAAGAGAGAAAUGAAAUUGAAGUACUUCUGAGAAUUGCAUCACUUAGCUUGAGAUUUGGGGUGAACUAGAAAGAGGAGUAGAAGAAGAAAGGGGGAAACAAAAACACCAAUGGAUCUUGGAUUUAAGAUGGGUUUCGUAUGGGAACGUGGUGGCGGAGACUCCAAAAAUCUGAAUCAAGUGGCAGCAGCAUGAUAAUAUCUCCUCUCAAAAAUUGCUUCUCUAAGCACUGUCGGAGCUAGUGAGGUUGUUUUGAGUUUUUCUUGCACUUCGUCUCCAAUGGCAUAGAUUCCUACUCCACUUUUAUGCAGUGAGCGAAUUUCUUUCUCACUUUCCCAGAUGAAGCUAUUUGGGAGAGUAUGGAUGUACUUGCAUUUCUGAUAGUUGUUUGAAGAUUUCCAACAACUUUAUCAAAGCAUCCACCACUUCCGGCAACAUCAAACUCUAGGCAGAGACAGAGUGCAAAACCACUACUAGCAAAGCCUUAAUUACAUAUCAAAUAACAAUUCAGAAUAUGUAAUUAUAUUAUUCACAAGCAUUAUGUAAGAUUAUGAUUUUUCCUCUCUAAACAAUUGUAAAUGAUUUAUAAUAAUCAUAACCAUAUAUAUGCCAUGGACUUCUGCAAUUAAUUUCCUAA
Long non-coding RNA from Papaver somniferum (opium poppy), 683 nucleotides. RefSeq lists it as uncharacterized. NCBI's taxonomy places the organism in Eukaryota, Viridiplantae, Streptophyta, Magnoliopsida, Ranunculales, Papaveraceae. The record is from RefSeq and is a predicted model, not a curated record. The transcript is spliced from 3 exons.